GGCCUCGUAGCUCAACUGGUAGAGGGUGCGCUGUACAAAAGAUGUAGGUGGUGCCCGUGCGUGGGUUCGAUUCCCACCGAGGUUA
This 85-nucleotide transfer RNA is filed under the name Echinostoma caproni. It matches the Rfam family "tRNA". Rfam says of the family: Transfer RNA (tRNA) molecules are approximately 80 nucleotides in length. Their secondary structure includes four short double-helical elements and three loops (D, anti-codon, and T loops). The record is from Rfam by way of RNAcentral. Lineage: Eukaryota; Metazoa; Platyhelminthes; Trematoda; Plagiorchiida; Echinostomatidae.